Molecule: ribosomal RNA, 119 nt
Filed under: Pteropus alecto (black flying fox)
Lineage: Eukaryota; Metazoa; Chordata; Mammalia; Chiroptera; Pteropodidae
Source: RNAcentral
GUCUAUAGCCUUGCUACCCUGAAUAAGCCUGAUCCCAUCUGAUCUCGGAAGCUAACCAGGUUCAGGCCUCAUUAGUACUUGGAUGGAAGACCACCUAGAAAGAGCAGGUGCUGUAGGCA